AUGUCCCGGAGUAUAUUUUAUCACAUAGGUGAAGCUAUAGUUGAGCAUGAUCAUGAUGGUUAUUUUAAGCAAAAAGGAAAUGCUGGUGGUGCUCCUGAUUCGCAGCCUACUGAUGGAUAUGCAGCUGAUGCUGCGGAUGAGUACGUUCGGUCUGCAAAAGCUACUGAUGUAAAAACUUGCAAAAAGUUUGUGAUAGCUAUUUGUCAAAUCUUUGGGGAUGAGUCCUUGAGAUCUCCAAAUGAAGAAGAUACUGCAAGAUUACUUGCAAUCUGGCAACCUGUCCGACGGCUGUCAAAAGCAAAACCAACGACUUUGCAGUACCCUCCAUUUUUUGGGGAUUUCUUGUGCGUCAGAGUCCCCAUCUCUGUCACAGGAAGGAGCACGGGAGGGACUCAUGAAUACUCUAUUGGUUUUGUCCAUUCCUCCGUUGGUGAUGAGCUACCCCAGGAUGCCAUCUGCUCUUAUGCAAGGUCCAGUUGGUCGGACCUUCCGACGGAUCUCCUCCUCAGAAUCCUCCAACGCCUCCAGCUCCAGGAAUCCCUUGCUUUUGCGUUAGUAUGCACAUCAUGGAGCUGGGCUGCAGCUGCUGCUGGCGUCCCAUGUUCUUGCAGACCGUGGCUCAUGUCUUGGACCCACCUCGUUGAGGAGAGUCAACCCAAGAUCAACUGGAGCUCAACUGUGACCUGCAAGUUCCGCCAUCUGGUGGACGUCAACAAGUCUUAUGAUGUUGAUUUUCCCAAGGGUUGUUUUGUUGCAUGUGCUGGAGCUUCUCAUGGAUGGCUGGUUCUGGUAAAUGAACUCUCCAAUCUCCUUCUCUUCAACCCCUUUACCUCGGACAUGGUCUCUUUACCACCAAUUACCGAUUUCUCAUUUGUGGAGGCAAUAUAUGAUAAUCAAGGACACAUAGAAGUUUAUCGUUUUUUUAACGAUGGAUUCUAUGAUGCAAAAUAUCUGGCAACAUGGUUCUUCCAGAAGGCAGUUUUGUCCUGUACCCCAUCCAAAGGUGGUAACUACAUUGUCAUGAUCAUUCAUUAUGAUAGCAAUUGGCUCUCUUUUGUGAGGGCAGGAGAGGGCAAGUGGCAAGUGGUCUCACCUUUAGCUAGAAGGGUACAAAAUCAGUAUGUGGCAAGUGGUCUCAACUUUAGCUAG
This 1149-nucleotide ribosomal RNA is filed under the name Triticum aestivum (bread wheat). RNAcentral's name for it is "partial small subunit ribosomal RNA". The record is from RNAcentral. Lineage: Eukaryota; Viridiplantae; Streptophyta; Magnoliopsida; Poales; Poaceae.